AACAACAGUAGCUCACACAACCCAAAAAUCGACAACUCACUUUCCGGCCACUCCCAACUUAAACCCAACAUACUGGUAGACUCCCCUCAUUGUGGUGUAUCUACUCAUGGCCACAAAACACCUACUCCACCAACCAGUCAGCAAUUGUAGCCAAAACUCACGCACACAAUCAACACCCAGAUUUUAGAUACAAAUUCCUACGACGAUGGCAAUCACAUGAUCUCGGACCACCCCUGUCAGCACCCUCUCAUCAUGGCGAAGCUAUUCCAUCCAUGGGUCUUCAUCAAUUUUGUAUGAAUUCAAGGUAGUUACAAUGCAAAUGGGCUUAGAUCCCCUUUAUUGGGGCUUCAAAACUGAUUCAAUCUUCGAAUCGACAUGAGGGAAUGAUUACUGAAUGCCAAACGAUCAUGGGCAUGCCUUCAAUUCAUCAUUCAAGCCCAAGCACCUAUAUUGAGCAUAUUAAAUCCGGACAAACAAUCGAUGCACUUUUUGGAGUGUG
Molecule: long non-coding RNA, 499 nt
Filed under: Olea europaea subsp. europaea
Lineage: Eukaryota; Viridiplantae; Streptophyta; Magnoliopsida; Lamiales; Oleaceae
Source: RNAcentral